This 3514-nucleotide long non-coding RNA is filed under the name Pelobates cultripes (western spadefoot toad). Lineage: Eukaryota; Metazoa; Chordata; Amphibia; Anura; Pelobatidae. The record is from RNAcentral.
CACAGACACAUUACUGGGAGUAUUAUUGCUGUGGAGCUCUGUUAUACACUCUGACACAUUACUGGGAGUAUUAUUGCUGUGGAGCUCUGUUAUACACACAGACACAUUACUGGGAGUAUUAUUGCUGUGAAGCUCUGUUAUACACUCAGACACAUUACUGGGAGUGUUAUUGCUGUGGAGCUGUGUUAUACUCUCAGACACACUGACAUUAGGAUAGAAAAGAGGGACCGGGGGAUUUUGGCAUUAAUAGGGACACUUGGGAGGUAUACAGCUAUUUUUAGCGUGAAUUUUGCAAUUUGCUUUUCAGUUCCCUGCAAUAUGAAAUUUAAUGAAUGCAUCCCUAAGUAUUUUUAAAGUUUUCUUCUGUCAUUGAAAUAAAAUUUCGAAAACCUUUAGUUUCACUUUAACCUUAAACUAGCACAAAAGUACCUUUAAAAAGUGCCUUUUAAACUUACGUAUGGGUAAAAACUUGCACAAUAUAAUUAUAUCCAUACAACUUGCGCUGUGUUCUCUUUUCUUCAACUUAUAAGUAUCUCUAUCGCUAAUUUAUGAGGAAUAUUUAGCUGGGGGCGAGUGAUAAGCGCUGGUGCCUUUUUAGAAACAGAAGCAAUGGGGGUUAUGUGUAAAUGUAUUUUUUCCUUUACUAUUUGCACAAGUUUUGUGUGCCACCUCCAUUUUCAUAGAGAUAUAACGGUUGUAUACAUUUGUUAAUUUUGUUAUGUAACCUUUAUUCAUUGGUGACUUUGAUCUCCCUCUUCAGUAACAUGCAAAAAAAAUGGUCUUUCUGGCACUCUCUAUUCAUCAAUUUUUUCCCAGAUGAUUUUACUAUUGCAUUUCAAUAACAUAAUAAGACAAAUUAGUAAUAUUACUAGGGAAAAAAGGCACAUUUGAGAUUUGAAGUAUUUUUUAUUCAUUAUAAAAAAAAAAGUUAGACUGUGAAAUGUGCUUACUUGCUAAGAUAAUCAUAAUUUCUGAGAAUGGCGGUAAUAUUUACUGGGAAAAAAAUGUACAUUGAUAGUCAAACAUUUGUGAACAAAAACCAAUGGAUUAGAGAAAUAAAGCGAUGGAGGAGGCACAGUAAGGAAUAUUUUGGCGAAGGGAAUAAAUAGGCAUACAUAGAAAAAAAGGUCCUAAAACAACAUAAUACAAUUGAGCGUAACACGGUUUAUACACAAACAAUGUUUCGCCUCCUCUAUGCAAUGUGUCUCUGGUUGUGCAAUCAGAACUGGAUUGUGAUGUCAGCUGCUAAAUCUUAAAAUACGUUUAAAAGCAAACAGAGCUCACGUGAAAAAUAUUUAACAGGAACUUUAGGAAAUUUACAAUGUUUUACUUAAUGAUUUAAUUUCUAGAAAAGUGACAGGUCUCAUUUAAUGAGAAUAAAUAGUAUUCUAUGGUUUAUGGCCUCUCCGCACUAGUAUUAUAAUCAUACCUAAUUUAUAAGAAAUACAGUAUGCCGUGUAGUAUUUGAGAAUACCACGUUUCUUGUGACCCUGUACAUAGACUAACGUAGGAUGUUUUCUCUAUAAAAGGCUAGAGUAGAAUUCUAGUAGUAUAAUUAGAUCAUUAUUUUUGCACAGUUAACAAAAGUCACACUAAACAUGUGCUAGAUGUUUGUGGCAGAGCCACGUUUUGUGGUCACGUAUCAUUUCUUCAUGCUGAUGGUCAGCACAUUAAAAUUGGGGUCCAAAAUGUAUGUAGCAAUCAUGUGCUGCAAGAGGAGAAACGCUUAAAGGGACACUGUAGUCACUAUAAGCAUUUCAUCUCUUUGAACUGGUUAUAGUGCCUGGAGUAUAGGUCCCUCCAUUCAGUGUUGCACCAUGUUCGUGCAGUAUGCCACAAGAUAAGAGUCCCUGGCCACCCACAGUCCGGCCCCUUCAGUAUCUGUAGCUAAGGCAGAGAUUACACACUUCCUUGUUGUCAUACCCAUUCAUACCGUCAGUUGGAACUCUGACAGGCUAAAAGCAGUCAGCUGACACCCUCAGCCAAUCACAGCUGCCCAUUGCUGCUCAGGCUAAUACUUCCUUAUUAGCCAAAGCAGCACAGAGGGGAUGGAUUGCAUGGGACUCUUGUUUAGCAUUAAAACAUUAAAACUUUAAAAACUGUUUAAUGCUGAUAGAAAUGAUGGGACCAGAGGACUCCAGACACUAUAACCAGUUUAAUGAGAGUAAGCAGAUACAGUGCCUAUGGUGUCCCUUUAACUAAUCAAGGCAGUUUCAUUGAAAUUCCGUCUAGAUCAGGCUUCUUGAACUCUGUCAUCCUCUGGCCAGUUACUGUUUUCAAAGAAUUCCGGGGGGAGCCAACGUUCCACAUAGUGCAGGGUAGCCCUGUUCCUGUAGUGAUCAUCAGCAUGAACAAUGUAUGUGCCUCUAGAUGAAUAUGGUGGAACUGAUAACCUUGCAAAAGACAAAACUUGCCUCUGCUAAUGGCAGACAAACCUGUGCCAAUGAUCUGUGCUAAUGACAGGUCCACCCAUGCUAAUGACAGAUCUGUGAGCCUGCGCUAAUGACAGACACACCCAAUCUAAAGACAGUUCUAUGUGCCUGUGAUUAUGACAGAUACACCCAUGCUAAUGACAGAUCUAUGUGACUGUGAUUAUGGCUUAGAAAUCACGACACCUUGCACUAUUAGACUAAAUCUUCAAUUUUGCGAACCAUUUGACUACCCUUGCUCUGUCUCUUAGGUCAGGAGAAAUCGAGGUGGAGAAAGUGUGAAAUACUUUCACUACUUAUGAUAUUUUAUAGGAUUGACCAAGGACUGCGCUAGAAAUAAACGGGCAGAUUUUCAUUCAACAUGGGGAGCUUGGAGACAUUAUAACGGAAGCUAAGAUAUGCGUUUUAUAUAGAUAUGUAUAGCAUUAAUGUGCCCAUUUUGUGCCACUACGAUGGUCCAGUAAUGCCACUAAUUGAAAUAAACACUGGGCUGUUGGUUUGUUGCUCACAUUUUAGUUUAAAUAAAGUUUUUUGUUGUCUUAGUAAAUGUAACCCAGAGUCCUGUGCUAGACUGGUGUAUGGUUUGUUAAACAGAGAUAAGAAACUUUUGGCGCUAAAGUUUAUAACUCCCACUAUGCUUAACUGCACGUUCAGUGCGAAACGCGUCUUGAGUUAUGUGGUUGAAGUGAGGGGAGGUUUUGCAUUGAUUAGCCAUGUGGCUAAACUAACACAUUGCUAGUAUAUCCACUUCCAAUGCUUGUUUUUAAUAGCUUUUUGAUUUAUUUUUAUGUUUGAUCUGUGAAAAUAAAUAUAUUUUUAUUGAAAUCGAACCCACGACACCUGAUCUUUUUUCUGCUAUCGGGACGUUAAUGCGAGAUUGUUCUGAACGAAUUGUGAGCCAUUUGGGCUGUACCUGACAGCUACGGUUGUACACACUGAGCGAUGCCACUACGAUAAUAUUCAAGCUUUACACUUACCUAUCUGGGUCCACUAGGAGGUGCUCCAGCUGUAUCGAAGAAUCCCAGAGGAAACAAGUCCGGUGUUUGUAUACAGAGAGUAUUGGUCAUUGUAUGCUAUCAAUGGAG